Molecule: ribosomal RNA, 253 nt
Filed under: uncultured bacterium
Lineage: Bacteria
Description: partial 16S ribosomal RNA
Rfam family: Bacterial small subunit ribosomal RNA
Source: RNAcentral
UACGGGGGGGGCAAGCGUUGUUCGGAAUUACUGGGCGUAAAGGGCUCGUAGGUGGCCAACUAAGUCGGACGUGAAAUCCCUCGGCUUAACCGAGGAACUGCGUCCGAUACUGGUUGGCUUGAGUUUGGGAGAGGGAUGCGGAAUUCCAGGUGUAGCGGUGAAAUGCGUAGAUAUCUGGAGGAACACCGGUGGCGAAGGCGGCAUCCUGGACCAAUACUGACGCUGAGGAGCGAAAGCCAGGGGAGCAAACGGG